CGAAAGAUGGGCUCGGUAUCACUGAGAUAGACGAGAAAUUCACCAGGAAUCUCAGCAACUUUUGUUUUCAUAAUUCAUACAGUCCAAAUGCCGGAGCACAAAACAACACAGGCAACGUGGAUGUUUUAAUGCAUUGAACAGUAUACGAAUAUAAACCAAAGAACGUUUUUUUCAGUUAACUUUCCCAAUUUGUGUUUUUAAUGAAACCAUACAAUUGACAGGAGGUUAAACUAUAGAUUGUCCAAUAUUAUUUGAAGUGAUUUGUGUGCACAUGGCUUUCACCGUUUAGCUUUGAUAUUCAUUCAAAUGUGUAAAAACAUACUGUAGCAGUAACACUGAAACCGCCCGUUGUAGGUGGAUGCCACUUAGAUGUUGAGGUAGAAACAUAGGUCCCCGAGUUUUGCCUUAUUUUCAGAUUUCACUCGGGAUGUGAAACACCUUGAUUAAGAUGAUCAAAUGAAUACUUCAUUGCCAGUGAAGGGGAAUGCGACGGUUUCCUUUUGCAGUUCAAGUGGUAGUAAGCAAGGACCAUUCGGCAGUGCGGAAUGUCCGUCCGCACCGGGUCCAGCCCCCCACUCUUCAAUGCGUGGUCCACUGCCCGACCCAAAGGCAAGGGGAACACGGUCAGCCAGCUCGUGUCUGAGAGACCCGAAGGCAAGGGGAAUGCGAGCAGGAACUCGCUCGUGUCGGGGAGAGAUAUCACGAGAUAGGAGAGAAAUUCACUCGGUGUCUCAUGAGUCUUUCAGCCACUGAUCAACAAGCGACCAACUUUUGUUUUGAUAGUAAGUGCAGUCCGAAUGUCGGAGGACAAAAUAACACAGACAAAGUGGAUUCAUGUUUUUCUUUUAUUAGAUAAUAGACUAUUCCAAUAUACACCAAAGAACAUAAGCACAUUUUUUUAAAGCCAUUUCACCAAUUUGUGUGUUUAAUGAAAUCAAACAAAAGACAAGAGGUUAAACAAUAGAUUGUCCUAUUUCAUUAGAAAAUAUUUGUGGCCACAUAGCAUACUCUAUUUACAAGUGACAAAAAUGUCCAUAUGUAAAAACGUAUUGUUGCAGUAAGGUUCAACCCAUCCGUUGUUGAAAACCACUGUAAUGUUGAGAUUAAAGUCUAUGUUCCCAAAUAAUAUCCUCUUCUCAUAUUUGACUCGGCGCUGGAGUCCUCCUUGUUAACGUUCAAGUUUUCCAAUAUACACCAAAGAACAUAAGCACAUUUUUUUUAAAGCCAUUUCACCAAUUUGUGUGUUUAAUGAAAUCAAACAAAAGACAAGAGGUUAAACAAUAGAUUGUCCUAUUUCAUUAGAAAAUAUUUGUGGCCACAUAGCAUACUCUAUUUACAAGUGACAAAAAUGUCCAUAUGUAAAAACGUAUUGUUGCAGUAAGGUUCAACCCAUCCGUUGUUGAAAACCACUGUAAUGUUGAGAUUAAAGUCUAUGUCCCCAAAUAAUAUCCUCUUCUCAUAUUUGACUCGGCGCUGGAGUCCUCCUUGUUGAAGUUUUACGAACUGAUGGUUGAAUUCGAACCCAACGUCACGUGGACCACAGAAGGUGGGUGUUUCCUUCUCUGCUGGCGAGGUAGAAUACAAGGGAGAGUCCGCUUCGUUGAAACAUGCAGCAAGGAGAAGUGCGAUGAUAGAAAUCCACUUCAUUGUGCCGGUUGGUAGGCUUGGCUUCAAAUCUUCUCUCCUGGUUGCUGGUAAACGCGAUGAACUGGUUGUUCUUUUCUCGGAUGAAGGUUUUCCGAUGAAGGUUUUCCGAUGGAGUUUAUGAAUAUAUUUUUCGAAGUCCAGUAUGUCAAAACAAUGUCUAAGAUCGAUGUCGAUUGUCCUUUCUGUGGAUAUAGCUGAUCCUUUCCUCACACUUCUCCGCAGGACUUCAACUUGAGUUUAUGUAUAUAUUUUUCGGUUUCCAGUGUUUGUAAUGUCGAUUGUCCAACCGCGGUCCUUUUCGCCGAAGACUCGGAAGGUUUUCGGUUGGCGUUUAUGUUAGAGAGUUGUCGAUUUUCCUAGCUCUGUAUACAGCCUACCGGUCCUUUCCUCAGACUUCUCCGCAGGACUUCAACUUGAGUUUAUGAAUAUAUUUUUCGAUUUACAGUAUGUAAAAACAAUGUUUAGGAGAGAUGUCGAUUGACCUAGCUCUGUAUACAGACUACCUGUCCUUUCCUCAGACUUCUCCGGAGCACUUCAACGUACGUUUUUUAAUAUGUAUUUUCUUCGAUUUCAAGUAUGUAAAAACGAUUUCAAAGAUAUCUGUCGAUUGUCCUAGCUCUGUAUAGUCUACGGUCCUCUCCAUGGCCCUGACCACUAUAGAGACUUUUUCAUGAAAUCGUGUUGUUUUUUCACACGAACCUCUGGAGUCGACAGAACAAUGAUAUAUACCAUGUAAUCAGUUGUAUAUGGAUUUUGUGUUAAUUGAUGAAACGUCAAACCAGGUUACCUGAGUCUAAGGCCUCAUAUUAUUAUUCUAAUUAGUCUAUUUGUCUUUGAUUCUUUUACAUUUGAUCUCCAAGAGAGACUGCUGAACAAUAAAGUACACAGUUCGGACUUCUGUGUGUGUGCGUCAAGGACGGCGGGUGCAUUUUUUAUCUGUAGCCUACUCUUGCUCCGGCUCCACUAUUAUCCCUAUGUUCAGUGCAGUGAGUGGUGGUUGUUUUAAUUUAAUAUAAAGGACAGAUGGACCUAUGGUUAGUUUCAAGUCUCGAUUUUCAAAGUUUAUUCAGCAAAUGCAUCGAAUAACACAGCGUCAUCCUGAACAAUGAAAUUCUUGUGACAUGGCCCACCGAAAGUAAGAACUUCCGAAAUAUGUCAAGUAAAAAUAUUGUUCGUGACUCUUGGAAGAGUUUGAUAAAUCACACCCCCCAUCGAUUCACUGUACCAAUCACAUAACGCCACCCAUCAGACCACCAAUCACAUCACGCCACCCAAUAUUUACCAUCAGUGGCUUGGGGACGGACCCAAAGUGAUGUGAAACAAGGUGAAUGCGAGCAGGAACUCGCUCGUGUCGGGGAGAGAUAUCACGAGAUAGGAGGGAAAUUCACUCGGUGUCUCAUGAGUCUUUCAGCCACUGAUCAACAAGCGACCAACUUUUGUUUUGAUAGUAAGUGCAGUCCGAAUGUCGGAGGACAAAAUAACACAGACAAGGUGGAUUCAUGUUUUUCCUUUAUUAGAUAGACUAUUCCAAUAUACACCAAAGAACAUAAGCACAUUUUUUAAAGUAAUUUCCCCAAUUUGUGUGUUUAAUGAAAUCAAACAAAAGACAAGAGGUUAAACAAUAGAUUGUCCUAUUUCAUUAGAAAAUAUUUGUGGCCACAUAGCUUACUCUAUUUACAAGUGACAAAAAUGUCCAUAUGUAAAAACGUAUUGUUGCAGUAAGGUUCAACCCAUCCGUUGUUGAAAACCACUGUAAUGUUGAGAUUAAAGUCUAUGUCCCCAAAUAAUAUCCUCUUCUCAUAUUUGACUCGGCGCUGGAGUCCUCCUUGUUCAAGUUUAACGAAUUGAUGGUUGAAUUCGAACCCAACGUCACGUGAACCAUAGAAGGUGGGUGUUUCCUUCUCUGCUGGCGAGGUAGAAUUCAAGGGAGAGUCGGCUUCGUUGAAACAUACAGCAAGGAAAAGUGCGAUGAUAGAAAUCCACUUCAUUGUGCCGGUUGUUAGGCUUGGCUUCAGAUCUUGUCUCUAUAGUGGUCAGGGCCAUGGAGAGGACCGUAGACUAUACAGCGCUAGGACAAUCGACAGAUAUCUUUGAAAUCGUUUUUACAUACUUGAAAUCGAAGAAUAUACAUAUUAAAAAACUUCCCUAAACUUGGUGGAAGUUUAGGGAAGGGCCCGUCCAGAGAUUGGCAUAAUGGGAAGGCCUAAUAUCACCGUAUAACCAUACUAUAUAAACGUGUGUUUCCGAUGCUUGGGAGCCAGUUGUUCUCCAGACCAACAUGGGUUGUUACUCUGCAGACAUGUGUUGCUUUAUGACCUUAAUAAAGUCAACUUUUGAAUUCACAUACUCCUGAGUCUUUUCAGCUUUUUGGCUGGAAAAGGGUAACAUUUUCCACAGCACCAGGUAUUUCUAGUGCGAGAUAUUGUCAUGCUCUCUCUGUGGUCAUAUUUAUGCACUGUAGUUGCUCCCACAAUUUAAAAGGUAGACGAGGUUUAGGUUAAUGGAACAGGUGUGACUAGGCCAGAAAGACAGAUGAAGUAUUUGACAGGCAACCAAUGGGACGAAGCACGGAGAGAGCAGAUGACUGGAAUAUGAGAGACUGUUGCGUUUAAACUGGCCUCAGCUGAAGAGUUUCCAGUCUGCACCGCUCCGCACAACCGCGUCCAGCUGCCCACGAUCUCCAAUGCGUAAUCCACUGCUUGGCACCGACCCCCGAUGUCCGUCCGCACCGCGUCCAGCCCCCCACUCUCCUAUGCAUGGUCUACUGCCCGGAACCGACCCCCGAUGUCCGUCCGCACCGCGUCCAGCCGCCCACUCUCCACUUCCAACCUGAGUGUGAGAGCAGCGACCCUGAAUGGCGAAAGAUGGGCUCGGUAUCACUGAGAUAGACGAGAAAUUCACCAGGAAUCUCAGCAACUUUUGUUUUCAUAAUUCAUACAGUCCAAAUGCCGGAGCACAAAACAACACAGGCAACGUGGAUGUUUUAAUGCAUUGAACAGUAUACGAAUAUAAACCAAAGAACGUUUUUUUCAGUUAACUUUCCCAAUUUGUGUUUUUAAUGAAACCAUACAAUUGACAGGAGGUUAAACUAUAGAUUGUCCAAUAUUAUUUGAAGUGAUUUGUGUGCACAUGGCUUUCACCGUUUAGCUUUGAUAUUCAUUCAAAUGUGUAAAAACAUACUGUAGCAGUAACACUGAAACCGCCCGUUGUAGGUGGAUGCCACUUAGAUGUUGAGGUAGAAACAUAGGUCCCCGAGUUUUGCCUUAUUUUCAGAUUUCACUCGGGAUGUGAAACACCUUGAUUAAGAUGAUCAAAUGAAUACUUCAUUGCCAGUGAAGGGGAAUGCGACGGUUUCCUUUUGCAGUUCAAGUGGUAGUAAGCAAGGACCAUUCGGCAGUGCGGAAUGUCCGUCCGCACCGGGUCCAGCCCCCCACUCUUCAAUGCGUGGUCCACUGCCCGACCCAAAGGCAAGGGGAACACGGUCAGCCAGCUCGUGUCUGAGAGACCCGAAGGCAAGGGGAAUGCGAGCAGGAACUCGCUCGUGUCGGGGAGAGAUAUCACGAGAUAGGAGAGAAAUUCACUCGGUGUCUCAUGAGUCUUUCAGCCACUGAUCAACAAGCGACCAACUUUUGUUUUGAUAGUAAGUGCAGUCCGAAUGUCGGAGGACAAAAUAACACAGACAAAGUGGAUUCAUGUUUUUCUUUUAUUAGAUAAUAGACUAUUCCAAUAUACACCAAAGAACAUAAGCACAUUUUUUUAAAGCCAUUUCACCAAUUUGUGUGUUUAAUGAAAUCAAACAAAAGACAAGAGGUUAAACAAUAGAUUGUCCUAUUUCAUUAGAAAAUAUUUGUGGCCACAUAGCAUACUCUAUUUACAAGUGACAAAAAUGUCCAUAUGUAAAAACGUAUUGUUGCAGUAAGGUUCAACCCAUCCGUUGUUGAAAACCACUGUAAUGUUGAGAUUAAAGUCUAUGUUCCCAAAUAAUAUCCUCUUCUCAUAUUUGACUCGGCGCUGGAGUCCUCCUUGUUAACGUUCAAGUUUUCCAAUAUACACCAAAGAACAUAAGCACAUUUUUUUUAAAGCCAUUUCACCAAUUUGUGUGUUUAAUGAAAUCAAACAAAAGACAAGAGGUUAAACAAUAGAUUGUCCUAUUUCAUUAGAAAAUAUUUGUGGCCACAUAGCAUACUCUAUUUACAAGUGACAAAAAUGUCCAUAUGUAAAAACGUAUUGUUGCAGUAAGGUUCAACCCAUCCGUUGUUGAAAACCACUGUAAUGUUGAGAUUAAAGUCUAUGUCCCCAAAUAAUAUCCUCUUCUCAUAUUUGACUCGGCGCUGGAGUCCUCCUUGUUGAAGUUUUACGAACUGAUGGUUGAAUUCGAACCCAACGUCACGUGGACCACAGAAGAAACUGGCCUCAGCUGAAGAGUUUCCAGUCUGCACCGCUCCGCACAACCGCGUCCAGCUGCCCACGAUCUCCAAUGCGUAAUCCACUGCUUGGCACCGACCCCCGAUGUCCGUCCGCACCGCGUCCAGCCCCCCACUCUCCUAUGCAUGGUCUACUGCCCGGAACCGACCCCCGAUGUCCGUCCGCACCGCGUCCAGCCGCCCACUCUCCACUUCCAACCUGAGUGUGAGAGCAGCGACCCUGAAUGGCGAAAGAUGGGCUCGGUAUCACUGAGAUAGACGAGAAAUUCACCAGGAAUCUCAGCAACUUUUGUUUUCAUAAUUCAUACAGUCCAAAUGCCGGAGCACAAAACAACACAGGCAACGUGGAUGUUUUAAUGCAUUGAACAGUAUACGAAUAUAAACCAAAGAACGUUUUUUUCAGUUAACUUUCCCAAUUUGUGUUUUUAAUGAAACCAUACAAUUGACAGGAGGUUAAACUAUAGAUUGUCCAAUAUUAUUUGAAGUGAUUUGUGUGCACAUGGCUUUCACCGUUUAGCUUUGAUAUUCAUUCAAAUGUGUAAAAACAUACUGUAGCAGUAACACUGAAACCGCCCGUUGUAGGUGGAUGCCACUUAGAUGUUGAGGUAGAAACAUAGGUCCCCGAGUUUUGCCUUAUUUUCAGAUUUCACUCGGGAUGUGAAACACCUUGAUUAAGAUGAUCAAAUGAAUACUUCAUUGCCAGUGAAGGGGAAUGCGACGGUUUCCUUUUGCAGUUCAAGUGGUAGUAAGCAAGGACCAUUCGGCAGUGCGGAAUGUCCGUCCGCACCGGGUCCAGCCCCCCACUCUUCAAUGCGUGGUCCACUGCCCGACCCAAAGGCAAGGGGAACACGGUCAGCCAGCUCGUGUCUGAGAGACCCGAAGGCAAGGGGAAUGCGAGCAGGAACUCGCUCGUGUCGGGGAGAGAUAUCACGAGAUAGGAGAGAAAUUCACUCGGUGUCUCAUGAGUCUUUCAGCCACUGAUCAACAAGCGACCAACUUUUGUUUUGAUAGUAAGUGCAGUCCGAAUGUCGGAGGACAAAAUAACACAGACAAAGUGGAUUCAUGUUUUUCUUUUAUUAGAUAAUAGACUAUUCCAAUAUACACCAAAGAACAUAAGCACAUUUUUUUAAAGCCAUUUCACCAAUUUGUGUGUUUAAUGAAAUCAAACAAAAGACAAGAGGUUAAACAAUAGAUUGUCCUAUUUCAUUAGAAAAUAUUUGUGGCCACAUAGCAUACUCUAUUUACAAGUGACAAAAAUGUCCAUAUGUAAAAACGUAUUGUUGCAGUAAGGUUCAACCCAUCCGUUGUUGAAAACCACUGUAAUGUUGAGAUUAAAGUCUAUGUUCCCAAAUAAUAUCCUCUUCUCAUAUUUGACUCGGCGCUGGAGUCCUCCUUGUUAACGUUCAAGUUUUCCAAUAUACACCAAAGAACAUAAGCACAUUUUUUUUAAAGCCAUUUCACCAAUUUGUGUGUUUAAUGAAAUCAAACAAAAGACAAGAGGUUAAACAAUAGAUUGUCCUAUUUCAUUAGAAAAUAUUUGUGGCCACAUAGCAUACUCUAUUUACAAGUGACAAAAAUGUCCAUAUGUAAAAACGUAUUGUUGCAGUAAGGUUCAACCCAUCCGUUGUUGAAAACCACUGUAAUGUUGAGAUUAAAGUCUAUGUCCCCAAAUAAUAUCCUCUUCUCAUAUUUGACUCGGCGCUGGAGUCCUCCUUGUUGAAGUUUUACGAACUGAUGGUUGAAUUCGAACCCAACGUCACGUGGACCACAGAAGGUGGGUGUUUCCUUCUCUGCUGGCGAGGUAGAAUACAAGGGAGAGUCCGCUUCGUUGAAACAUGCAGCAAGGAGAAGUGCGAUGAUAGAAAUCCACUUCAUUGUGCCGGUUGGUAGGCUUGGCUUCAAAUCUUCUCUCCUGGUUGCUGGUAAACGCGAUGAACUGGUUGUUCUUUUCUCGGAUGAAGGUUUUCCGAUGAAGGUUUUCCGAUGGAGUUUAUGAAUAUAUUUUUCGAAGUCCAGUAUGUCAAAACAAUGUCUAAGAUCGAUGUCGAUUGUCCUUUCUGUGGAUAUAGCUGAUCCUUUCCUCACACUUCUCCGCAGGACUUCAACUUGAGUUUAUGUAUAUAUUUUUCGGUUUCCAGUGUUUGUAAUGUCGAUUGUCCAACCGCGGUCCUUUUCGCCGAAGACUCGGAAGGUUUUCGGUUGGCGUUUAUGUUAGAGAGUUGUCGAUUUUCCUAGCUCUGUAUACAGCCUACCGGUCCUUUCCUCAGACUUCUCCGCAGGACUUCAACUUGAGUUUAUGAAUAUAUUUUUCGAUUUACAGUAUGUAAAAACAAUGUUUAGGAGAGAUGUCGAUUGACCUAGCUCUGUAUACAGACUACCUGUCCUUUCCUCAGACUUCUCCGGAGCACUUCAACGUACGUUUUUUAAUAUGUAUUUUCUUCGAUUUCAAGUAUGUAAAAACGAUUUCAAAGAUAUCUGUCGAUUGUCCUAGCUCUGUAUAGUCUACGGUCCUCUCCAUGGCCCUGACCACUAUAGAGACUUUUUCAUGAAAUCGUGUUGUUUUUUCACACGAACCUCUGGAGUCGACAGAACAAUGAUAUAUACCAUGUAAUCAGUUGUAUAUGGAUUUUGUGUUAAUUGAUGAAACGUCAAACCAGGUUACCUGAGUCUAAGGCCUCAUAUUAUUAUUCUAAUUAGUCUAUUUGUCUUUGAUUCUUUUACAUUUGAUCUCCAAGAGAGACUGCUGAACAAUAAAGUACACAGUUCGGACUUCUGUGUGUGUGCGUCAAGGACGGCGGGUGCAUUUUUUAUCUGUAGCCUACUCUUGCUCCGGCUCCACUAUUAUCCCUAUGUUCAGUGCAGUGAGUGGUGGUUGUUUUAAUUUAAUAUAAAGGACAGAUGGACCUAUGGUUAGUUUCAAGUCUCGAUUUUCAAAGUUUAUUCAGCAAAUGCAUCGAAUAACACAGCGUCAUCCUGAACAAUGAAAUUCUUGUGACAUGGCCCACCGAAAGUAAGAACUUCCGAAAUAUGUCAAGUAAAAAUAUUGUUCGUGACUCUUGGAAGAGUUUGAUAAAUCACACCCCCCAUCGAUUCACUGUACCAAUCACAUAACGCCACCCAUCAGACCACCAAUCACAUCACGCCACCCAAUAUUUACCAUCAGUGGCUUGGGGACGGACCCAAAGUGAUGUGAAACAAGGUGAAUGCGAGCAGGAACUCGCUCGUGUCGGGGAGAGAUAUCACGAGAUAGGAGGGAAAUUCACUCGGUGUCUCAUGAGUCUUUCAGCCACUGAUCAACAAGCGACCAACUUUUGUUUUGAUAGUAAGUGCAGUCCGAAUGUCGGAGGACAAAAUAACACAGACAAGGUGGAUUCAUGUUUUUCCUUUAUUAGAUAGACUAUUCCAAUAUACACCAAAGAACAUAAGCACAUUUUUUAAAGUAAUUUCCCCAAUUUGUGUGUUUAAUGAAAUCAAACAAAAGACAAGAGGUUAAACAAUAGAUUGUCCUAUUUCAUUAGAAAAUAUUUGUGGCCACAUAGCUUACUCUAUUUACAAGUGACAAAAAUGUCCAUAUGUAAAAACGUAUUGUUGCAGUAAGGUUCAACCCAUCCGUUGUUGAAAACCACUGUAAUGUUGAGAUUAAAGUCUAUGUCCCCAAAUAAUAUCCUCUUCUCAUAUUUGACUCGGCGCUGGAGUCCUCCUUGUUCAAGUUUAACGAAUUGAUGGUUGAAUUCGAACCCAACGUCACGUGAACCAUAGAAGGUGGGUGUUUCCUUCUCUGCUGGCGAGGUAGAAUUCAAGGGAGAGUCGGCUUCGUUGAAACAUACAGCAAGGAAAAGUGCGAUGAUAGAAAUCCACUUCAUUGUGCCGGUUGUUAGGCUUGGCUUCAGAUCUUGUCUCUAUAGUGGUCAGGGCCAUGGAGAGGACCGUAGACUAUACAGCGCUAGGACAAUCGACAGAUAUCUUUGAAAUCGUUUUUACAUACUUGAAAUCGAAGAAUAUACAUAUUAAAAAACUUCCCUAAACUUGGUGGAAGUUUAGGGAAGGGCCCGUCCAGAGAUUGGCAUAAUGGGAAGGCCUAAUAUCACCGUAUAACCAUACUAUAUAAACGUGUGUUUCCGAUGCUUGGGAGCCAGUUGUUCUCCAGACCAACAUGGGUUGUUACUCUGCAGACAUGUGUUGCUUUAUGACCUUAAUAAAGUCAACUUUUGAAUUCACAUACUCCUGAGUCUUUUCAGCUUUUUGGCUGGAAAAGGGUAACAUUUUCCACAGCACCAGGUAUUUCUAGUGCGAGAUAUUGUCAUGCUCUCUCUGUGGUCAUAUUUAUGCACUGUAGUUGCUCCCACAAUUUAAAAGGUAGACGAGGUUUAGGUUAAUGGAACAGGUGUGACUAGGCCAGAAAGACAGAUGAAGUAUUUGACAGGCAACCAAUGGGACGAAGCACGGAGAGAGCAGAUGACUGGAAUAUGAGAGACUGUUGCGUUUAAACUGGCCUCAGCUGAAGAGUUUCCAGUCUGCACCGCUCCGCACAACCGCGUCCAGCUGCCCACGAUCUCCAAUGCGUAAUCCACUGCUUGGCACCGACCCCCGAUGUCCGUCCGCACCGCGUCCAGCCCCCCACUCUCCUAUGCAUGGUCUACUGCCCGGAACCGACCCCCGAUGUCCGUCCGCACCGCGUCCAGCCGCCCACUCUCCACUUCCAACCUGAGUGUGAGAGCAGCGACCCUGAAUGGCGAAAGAUGGGCUCGGUAUCACUGAGAUAGACGAGAAAUUCACCAGGAAUCUCAGCAACUUUUGUUUUCAUAAUUCAUACAGUCCAAAUGCCGGAGCACAAAACAACACAGGCAACGUGGAUGUUUUAAUGCAUUGAACAGUAUACGAAUAUAAACCAAAGAACGUUUUUUUCAGUUAACUUUCCCAAUUUGUGUUUUUAAUGAAACCAUACAAUUGACAGGAGGUUAAACUAUAGAUUGUCCAAUAUUAUUUGAAGUGAUUUGUGUGCACAUGGCUUUCACCGUUUAGCUUUGAUAUUCAUUCAAAUGUGUAAAAACAUACUGUAGCAGUAACACUGAAACCGCCCGUUGUAGGUGGAUGCCACUUAGAUGUUGAGGUAGAAACAUAGGUCCCCGAGUUUUGCCUUAUUUUCAGAUUUCACUCGGGAUGUGAAACACCUUGAUUAAGAUGAUCAAAUGAAUACUUCAUUGCCAGUGAAGGGGAAUGCGACGGUUUCCUUUUGCAGUUCAAGUGGUAGUAAGCAAGGACCAUUCGGCAGUGCGGAAUGUCCGUCCGCACCGGGUCCAGCCCCCCACUCUUCAAUGCGUGGUCCACUGCCCGACCCAAAGGCAAGGGGAACACGGUCAGCCAGCUCGUGUCUGAGAGACCCGAAGGCAAGGGGAAUGCGAGCAGGAACUCGCUCGUGUCGGGGAGAGAUAUCACGAGAUAGGAGAGAAAUUCACUCGGUGUCUCAUGAGUCUUUCAGCCACUGAUCAACAAGCGACCAACUUUUGUUUUGAUAGUAAGUGCAGUCCGAAUGUCGGAGGACAAAAUAACACAGACAAAGUGGAUUCAUGUUUUUCUUUUAUUAGAUAAUAGACUAUUCCAAUAUACACCAAAGAACAUAAGCACAUUUUUUUAAAGCCAUUUCACCAAUUUGUGUGUUUAAUGAAAUCAAACAAAAGACAAGAGGUUAAACUAUAGAUUGUCCUAUUUCAUUAGGAAAUAUUUGUGGCCACAUAGCAUACUCUAUUUACAAGUGACAAAAAUGUCCAUAUGUAAAAACGUAUUGUUGCAGUAAGGUUCAACCCAUCCGUUGUUGAAAACCACUGUAAUGUUGAGAUUAAAGUCUAUGUCCCCAAAUAAUAUCCUCUUCUCAUAUUUGACUCGGCGCUGGAGUCCUCCUUGUUGAAGUUUUACGAACUGAUGGUUGAAUUCGAACCCAACGUCACGUGAACCACAGAAGGUGGGUGUUUCCUUCUCUGCUGGCGAGGUAGAAUACAAGGGAGAGUCCGCAUCGUUGAAACAUGCAGCAAGGAGAAGUGCGAUGAUAGAAAUCCACUUCAUUGUGCCGGUUGGUAGGCUUGGCUUCAAAUCUUCUCUCCUGGUUGCUGGUAAACGCGAUGAACUGGUUGUUCUUUUCUCGGAUGAAGCUUU
Esox lucius (northern pike) is the source of this 12221-nucleotide long non-coding RNA. RefSeq lists it as uncharacterized. Lineage: Eukaryota; Metazoa; Chordata; Actinopteri; Esociformes; Esocidae. The transcript has 4 exons. The record is from RefSeq and is a predicted model, not a curated record.